GAUGAACGCUGGCGGCGUGCUUAACACAUGCAAGUCGAACGGAAAGGCCCAAGUUUGCUUGGGUACUCGAGUGGCGAACGGGUGAGUAACACGUGGGUGAUCUGCCCUUCACUUUGGGAUAAGCCUGGGAAACUGGGUCUAAUACCGGAUCGGACCACCUUCUGGAUGGUGUGGUGGAAAGUUUUUCGGUGUGGGAUGAGGUCUCGGCCGAUUAUCUUGUUGUUGGGGUAUUGGCCUACCAAAGGGUCGAGGGGUAGCCGGCCUGAGAGGGUGUACGGCCACAUUGGGAGAGGGAUACGUCCCAGACGCCUACGGGAGGCAGGAGUGGGGGAUAUUGUACAAUGGGGGCGAGCCUGAUAUAGUGACGCCGCGUGGGGGGUGAGGGCCUUCGGGUGGUGAAGUCCGUUUGCUACGGACGAAGCGUUUUAGUGACGGUACCUGGAGAAGAAGCACCGGCUAACUACGUG
This 467-nucleotide ribosomal RNA is filed under the name uncultured bacterium. RNAcentral's name for it is "partial 16S ribosomal RNA". It matches the Rfam family "Bacterial small subunit ribosomal RNA", at positions 28 to 507 of the family's 1533-position model. The record is from RNAcentral.